This is a long non-coding RNA of Xiphophorus couchianus (Monterrey platyfish), 974 nucleotides long. RefSeq lists it as uncharacterized. NCBI's taxonomy places the organism in Eukaryota, Metazoa, Chordata, Actinopteri, Cyprinodontiformes, Poeciliidae. The transcript has 2 exons. The record is from RefSeq and is a predicted model, not a curated record.
UCAGAAGCCUGAGCUCUACGCGAGGCUCUGCAUGGCACCGUGGGAGCCCACGUGUCCAGAACUAGACCCACGCAGGAGGACAAACACACGGUCCUCCGACGCUUUGCUAGCAUUUGCUUUGCCUCCAGGUUGUCAGCCUGGUCCGGCCUCAGCUCGGCACGUGUUGCCGAGCGGAGUCCCCGGCGGAGCAGCUAGCCGCGGAGCUAGGUUCCUUUGGCACAGCAGCAGAGCAUGGGGGUUCUGGGGAAGCUUCCUGCAGUCGGCCUUACCUGCAUUUCCUCCGCCUGGCUGAAUGAAACCUCCGCUCGACCAGUUCUCUUCUCCUCCUGGACCUCCCUUUGACUUUCUGUGCAGCUGUUCAGCCCUGCUUCAAAACAGCAGAUGCUCAGAUGUGUCUGCUGCUUUAACCUUGUAGAGCAUCGGAUGGAGACUUUAAUCUGACGUGGCGUUCGCUUGUCCUUUCUGAGAUAGGCCACAUUUGUACAAAUGUCAAGGAUUUAUACAUCUCCAAAGCAAUACCUCCUCUGGAGAAAUCACAUCACAAUCUUUUUUUUCCCAGCUCUGAAUAUAAACCCCCUUGUCCAGAGACUGUUAAGAAAAUGACUGCGAGGAAGUGGUCACAGGAAGCCGAAGAAGCCCUUGGAGCUGCGUCUCGAAGGCGGCGUGAGGCCCACCCAGGCGUUUGGCACAGCUGAAUGUUUGCCUCAGGAGAAUAAAGCGUUUCUCAAACAUGCGUGAAAGAAUCAAAGCAACACUCAGGUUAAUUUCUUGAUGAAGGAAUGACAUUAUAGCAUGGUUUUACAUAACACUGUCCCUUCAGAAGCUCCAUUUUGUGUUUACUUGUGUUGUCUAUGAUUAAUCUUUAAAUUGGUUUGAUGUUCUGAAACAAUGAAGCGUGUAAAAAGAACAUGCAAAACAAAAUGGAAGUCAGCGCAUGCAUGUCCCAAUACAAACAUUAUAAACAUCCAUUUGGA